This 462-nucleotide ribosomal RNA is filed under the name uncultured bacterium. RNAcentral's name for it is "partial 16S ribosomal RNA". It matches the Rfam family "Bacterial small subunit ribosomal RNA", at positions 29 to 507 of the family's 1533-position model. The record is from RNAcentral.
ACGCACGCUGGCGGCGUGCUUCACCCCUGCAAGUCGCACGGUGAACCUCUUCGGAGGGGAUCAGUGGCGAACGGGUGAGUAACACGUGGGCAACCUGCCCCCGGCUCUGGGAUAACUCCAAGAAAUUGGGGCUAAUACCGGAUGUUCACCGCUUCCCGCAUGGGUGGUGGUGCAAAGGGUUUCCGGCUGGGGAUGGGCCCGCGGCCUAUCAGCUUGUUGGUGGGGUAGUGGCCUACCAAGGCGACGACGGGUAGCCGGCCUGAGAGGGUGACCGGCCACACUGGGACUGAGACACGGCCCAGACUCCUACGGGAGGCAGCAGUGGGGAAUAUUGCGCAAUGGGCGGAAGCCUGACGCAGCGACGCCGCGUGGGGGAUGACGGCCUUCGGGUUGUAAACCUCUUUCAGCAGGGACGAAGCGCAAGUGACGGUACCUGCAGAAGAAGCACCGGCCAACUACGUG